GGUUGAUCCUGCCAGUAGUCAUAUGCUUGUCCCAAAGAUUAAGCCAUGCAUGUCUAAGUAUAAACAAAUCUAUACUGUGAAACUGCGAAUGGCUCAUUAAAUCAGUUAUAAUUUAUUUGAGAGUCUCUUUACUACUUGGAUAACCGUGGUAAUUCUAGAGCUAAUACAUGCAAAAAGCCCGACUUCUGGAAGGGCUGUAUUUAUUAGAUAAAAAACCAAUGCCGGAAACGGCUUCUUGGUGAUUCAUAAUAACUUUGCGGAUCGUAUGGCCUUGAGCUGACGACGUUUCAUU
Molecule: ribosomal RNA, 292 nt
Filed under: uncultured eukaryote
Lineage: Eukaryota
Description: partial 18S ribosomal RNA
Rfam family: Eukaryotic small subunit ribosomal RNA
Source: RNAcentral